GCCUGGCUGGCUCAGUUGGUAAAGCAUGUGGCUCCUGACCUCAGGGUUGUAAGUUCGAGCCCAUGUUGGGCA
Molecule: transfer RNA, 72 nt
Filed under: Ailuropoda melanoleuca (giant panda)
Lineage: Eukaryota; Metazoa; Chordata; Mammalia; Carnivora; Ursidae
Rfam family: tRNA
About the family: Transfer RNA (tRNA) molecules are approximately 80 nucleotides in length.
Source: Rfam by way of RNAcentral